RNAcentral lists this ribosomal RNA (253 nucleotides) under uncultured bacterium. RNAcentral's name for it is "partial 16S ribosomal RNA". It matches the Rfam family "Bacterial small subunit ribosomal RNA", at positions 524 to 776 of the family's 1533-position model. The record is from RNAcentral.
UACAGAGGGUGCGAGCGUUAAUCGGAAUUACUGGGCGUAAAGCGCGCGUAGGCGGCUUUGCAAGUCGAGUGUGAAAUCCCCAGGCUUAACCUGGGAACUGCAAUCGAGACUGCAUAGCUAGAGUAUGGGAGAGGGAAGUGGAAUUUCAGGUGUAGCGGUGAAAUGCGUAGAUAUCUGAAGGAACAUCAGUGGCGAAAGCGACUUCCUGGACCAAUACUGACGCUCAUGUGCGAAAGCGUGGGGAGCAAACAGG